Molecule: ribosomal RNA, 2984 nt
Filed under: soil metagenome
Description: bacterial LSU rRNA
Rfam family: Archaeal large subunit ribosomal RNA
Source: RNAcentral
ACGCCAAUAGAAGGAUGGCUUGGCUUGAGAAGAGAUGAAGGACGUGGCAAGCUGCGAUAAGCUUAGGGUAGGUGCAGGCGACCUAUGAUCCUGAGAUGUCCGAAUAGGAAUCCGAUGCGUAAGCAUACUCAAUUACAAUGGUAGUUGAGAUCGAACCGUGGGAAGUGAAGCAUCUGAGUACCACGUGGAAAAGAAAUCAACAGAGAUUUCCCAAGUAGCGGCGAGCGAAACGGAAAUAGCCCAAACUGAAUCUGACAUGGUAACAUGUUAGAGAUGUGGUGUGUUAUGGUAUUACGAUCCUCAAAUCUGAGCUUAAGUAGACUGGAAUGUCUUGGCGAAGAAGGUGAAACCCCCGUGAGCUAAAGAAGAGAGGAUCUUACCAUAUCGAGAGUAGUUGUCCUUGGUAGUGGGCAAUGAAUAUGGGUGAAAGUAGCACCCAAGGCUAAAUAUUUCUCAAGACCGAUAGCGGAGUAGUACCGCGAGGGAAAGCUGAAAAGUACCCCGGAAGGGGGGUGAAAAGUGCCUGAAAUCAUUUGGUUACAGACGUUCAUGGCAUGAAAGGAGUUUUUGUCAGACUGGAGGUUCUAGCAAUAGAGCUGAAGGUCUGGCGUUCUUAGCUCCAGUGUCAUGUGUUCCGUCUAGAAACACGGGCCAGGGAGCUUACCGUCAUGGCAAGCCUAAAUCUUAACAGGAUGGAGGCGAAGGGAAACCAAGUUCUCGCAGUGCUAAACGAGGAGAAGCGUGUGAAAGUGCGUUGAGUCAUGGCGGCAAGGCUAGAAACCAGACGAUCUAUCCCUGAACAAGACGAAGUUGGGCGAAAGCCCGAUGGAGGUCUGAAGCAGUUCUAACGUGCAAUUUGUUUGUGUGAUUUGGGGAUAGGGGUCAAAAACCAAUCUAGUCUGGUGAUCGCUAGUUCCUAACGAAGUGUAUCGUAGUACAGACUCUGUGGAGGCAGCGUGUCCUGUAGAGCACCGAUAGGGUAUGUCGGGUGAGAAAUCAUUCGCUACCCCUUCAAACUCCGAAGGGAUGCGCACCUACGAAGCAGGGAUACGGAUUUACGUGGCGUAAGGCUCGUAAUCAAGAGGGGGACAACCCAGACUGAGGUUAAGGUCCCCAAGUUUUUGCUAAGUGUCAAACUAAAGGGCGUAUUAAGGCCAAGACAGCAGGGAGGUAAGCUCAGAAGCAGCUAUCCUUUAAAAAGUGCGUAACAGCUUACCUGCCGAGCCUUGAUGCCCCAAAAAUGGACGGGGCUAAAGCAAAGCACCGAUACCUCGGAUUCUUAUGGAUACAUAAGGCAUGGUAGUUAGGCGUAGGGAUUGGGCAGAAGCAGGGCCGUGAGGUCCUGUGGACCGGUUCCUAUUGCAGAUCCUGGCGGCAGUAACAGCAUAGUGGAGUGAGAAUCUCCACCAUCGUAAGCGUAAGGGUUUCCCGGCAAUGCGUCGUCAGCCGGGAGUUAGUCGAUCCUAAGAUCAACCUCAACAGAAUUGAUCGAAUUGGGAAACUUGUUAAUAUUCAAGUACCUUGCAGAUGCGUUAUAAUCUAGAAAUCGCUUUCGGAUAGGGCGUGCAGAACCAUCGUUCUGUUUAACAGCUCAAGGGUUAGGGAGUGUCGUAAUGACGAGAACUUCCCCGAGACUGGAAUGGCUUGGCGUUAGCUGAGUUUGCUCAAAUCCAAGAGACCUUGAAAAAUUUCGUAGUGAGCUAUCUGUAAUGAUCGUACCGAGAACCGACACAGGUGCGCUGGAUGAGAAGUCUAAGAUGUAUCGGGUAUACCGUAGGCGAGGGAAUUCGGCAAAAUAGUCCUGUACCUUUGGUAUAAGGGAUGCCUGCAGCGGUAAUGUAGAAUUGCCGUCGCAGGUCGCAGUGACAAGGGGGUCCCGACUGUUUAAUAAAAACACAGGUGACUGCUAGCGAGAAAUCGUUUGUAUAGUCACUGAAUCCUGGCCAGUGCAGGUACCUAAAACUUGGGUUCAACUGAGCUAAGGGCCUGUAAACGCCGGGAGUAACUCUGACUCUCUUAAGGUAGCCAAAUGCCUUGUCGGGUAAGUUCCGACGUGCAUGAAUGGAACAACGAGGGCCCCGCUGUCCCCGCCUACAACCCGGUGAAGCCACAUAAGCUGGACGAACAGUCCAGCAUCUUCCAUCGGGGAGAGAAGACCCCGUGGAGUUUUACUGCAGCUUGUGCUUGUAGUAUGGUGAAAUUUGCAUAGAGUAACUGGUAGACAUGCUAACGCCUUUUCGGGGGCGUUGGAAUCGAAAGUGUAACACCAGUCAUUUUUCUUCGUACUACUUACCAUCCGCAAGGAUGGGACAGGUGCAGGUGGGCAGUUCGGCUGGGGCGGCACCCCUUUGAAAAGAUAUCAAAGGGGCCCAAAGUUCGGUUCAAACGGGUCAGAAAUCCGUUGAAGAGGGCAAGGCCACAAACUGGACUGACUGGAUCUCCAAACGCACGGGAUUCAGAGAAGAAAUUCGGGCCUAGCGAUCCAUGACGUCCCCACUAUUGGGGGCUCGUGGUGACAGAAAAAUUACCCCAGGGAUAACAGGCUCGUCGCGGGCGAGAGCUCCUAUCGACCCCGCGGUUUGGUACCUCGAUGUCGGCUUUUCCCAUCCUGGCCCUGCAGCAGGGGCCAAGGGUGAGGCUGCUCGCCUAUUAAAGGGGAACAUGAGCUGGGUUUAGACCGUCGUGAGACAGGUCGGACUCUGCCUGAUGGAAGCGUGGUUGCUUGAGGGGAAGUUGCUCCGAGUACGAGAGGAACAGAGCAGCGUGGCCUCUGGUUUAACGGUUGUCUGAUAAGGCAGGCCGUGCAGCUAAGCCAUUUGGGCUAACUCCUGAAAGCAUCUAAGGAGGAAUCCCAUCCCGAGAAAAGGCAACCCGUCGUAAGACAUAGGGUGGCCGCAGAAGACGGCUUUGAUAGAACAGCAGUGUAGAUCCCAAGCUUCGGCGAGGGGUGAGCUGGCUGUCACUAACAACCCAAUACAUCAGUC